RNAcentral lists this ribosomal RNA (495 nucleotides) under uncultured bacterium. Its description in RNAcentral is "partial 16S ribosomal RNA". It matches the Rfam family "Bacterial small subunit ribosomal RNA", at positions 28 to 507 of the family's 1533-position model. The record is from RNAcentral.
GACGAACGCUGGCGGCGUGCCUAAUACAUGCAAGUAGAACGCUGAAGGAGGAGCUUGCUUCUCUGGAUGAGUUGCGAACGGGUGAGUAACGCGUAGGUAACCUGCCUGGUAGCGGGGGAUAACUAUUGGAAACGAUAGCUAAUACCGCAUAAUAGUAGAUGUUGCAUGACAUUUACUUAAAAGGUGCAAUUGCAUCACUACCAGAUGGACCUGCGUUGUAUUAGCUAGUUGGUGGGGUAACGGCUCACCAAGGCGACGAUACAUAGCCGACCUGAGAGGGUGAUCGGCCACACUGGGAGGGAGACACGGCCCAGACUCCUACGGGAGGCAGCAGUAGGGAAUCGUGGGCAAUGGACGAAAGUCUGACCGAGCAACGCGGCGUGAGUGAAGAAGGAUGUCGGAUCGUAAAGCACGGUUGUAAGAGAAGAACGAGUGUGAGAGUGGAAAGUUCACACUGUGACGGUAUCUGACCAGAAAGGGACGGCUAACUACGUG